UUUCCGUAGGUGAACCUGCGGAAGGAUCAUUAAUGAGUUGUCAUGGGGUUCGAUGCUGGCAGCCAGUUUUUGGAUGCAUGUGCUUGCCCUAACAAUCAUCUUCUUCCAAACACCUGUGCACAUUUUUGAGGGAGUCUUGAGUUGGUUGCCGCUCUUGGGUGAUUUUCUCACAUUCCCUUAAAUCAUUAUACGCUAUUAACAAUGUUGAACGUGCUCUGUGCCGCAAGGCCAUUAAUAUAAUACAACUUUUAACAACGGAUCUCUUGGCUCUCGCAUCGAUGAAGAACGCGC
RNAcentral lists this unclassified non-coding RNA (291 nucleotides) under plant metagenome. RNAcentral's name for it is "partial contains small subunit ribosomal RNA, internal transcribed spacer 1, and 5.8S ribosomal RNA". The stretch from base 244 to 291 matches the Rfam family "5.8S ribosomal RNA", at positions 1 to 48 of the family's 154-position model. The record is from RNAcentral.